CAUAUAUCCAAAAAUAAUUAUAUGAGGAUUUCUUGGGAGAUUUCUACCUUCAAGAGGAACAAACAAACAAACAAUAUCAAUUUAAUUGUAAACCACUAGAUGCUGUUAUUCACAAACCAGUGAGGCUUGCUUUCCUAACUAGUUUGGUUCAUUUCUAUUGCUGAACAACAUGCCAGGUGUUUUACAAUAUAAUGAGGCAUUAUUGGGCUUCUCUAAUUAAACACUGUAAAUGAGAAAUAUUUCAGGUGCCAUUUUACAUUAAAAGAACUCUCACAAAAUCUAAGGAGGUGAAAGUGGUAAAGUAAUUAUGAAAUUUAAUAAGAAUGGUCAAUGUUAGAAAAAGUACAGUAUUGACACAAUAACAAUUAGCAGCAUUUAGGUGUUACUGUUCAGAUAUUAUCUGUCAGUUUUGGAGAUGUUUAUAUUUCCACAUUUUCCUUCGCGAUGCUACUGAAUGAACCAGGUUUCAUUUUUGCUAGAAGGAAUAUAACUAUGGGGCCCCUUUCUGCAGUAUAACAGGUAGGACUGUGUGGUGUUGUGGUAUUAUAAAUUCUCCUUCUGUGGAAGUCAAAACAAGAAGGUAGUACAACUUGUGGCCAGCCACCACUUCAUUGACAAGGCCACUCAGUCUGAUAAAAUGUAGAUAUCUACAUUCAAAAGAAGGAGUCAGAGAGUCUGCUUUCCAUCACUGCUUAACUCUGAUGGCCAGAAUGAAAACAGAAAUACAUUCUGUUAUUCAAAUCUUUUGGAGAACUGCCUAGCAGAAAAGGUGUCCUGUUCUUGGGAAGAAUGGAGAGAAGAUAACUCCAAAAGAGUCCAGAAGUUAGGUGAAGAGACUUUCCACCUCACUGUCAAGGAGAGACUUGUUUUCCUUCACCUUCCUAUUGGGGACAUUGAAGAGACACAGGAGGCCUCAGAGAGACACGUUUCUUACACUUCCUAGCAGUCGUGGUAGAACUAGUAAUCUCUCAUUCUAUUUGGUUAUUGUAUGUAACAAAACAAUUAUUUGCAAGGGCAUUGGAAGUUAUUCAAAACUGGUAAGAAAACAGCUCAAACUGAUCACUGAACUAGUGCAGACAGUUUAAAAAAUUGUCAUUGUAAUAACAACUAUAAUAAUUUUAAAAUUAAUUGAGAUUCAGG
RNAcentral lists this long non-coding RNA (1140 nucleotides) under Numida meleagris (helmeted guineafowl). Its description in RNAcentral is "lncRNA (ENSNMEG00000006515.1)". The record is from RNAcentral. Lineage: Eukaryota; Metazoa; Chordata; Aves; Galliformes; Numididae.